This is a transfer RNA of Selaginella moellendorffii, 80 nucleotides long. It matches the Rfam family "tRNA". Rfam says of the family: Transfer RNA (tRNA) molecules are approximately 80 nucleotides in length. Their secondary structure includes four short double-helical elements and three loops (D, anti-codon, and T loops). NCBI's taxonomy places the organism in Eukaryota, Viridiplantae, Streptophyta, Lycopodiopsida, Selaginellales, Selaginellaceae. The record is from Rfam.
GACAGCUUGGCCGAGUGGUCUAAAGCGUUGGAUUUAGGCUCCAAUCCUCAAGGGCGUGGGUUCAAAUCCCACAGCUGUCA